AUAAAAUUUAUAGAGCAUUUUUGAAGAAAAAUAAAAUCCAGCUAAUAAUCAAUGAAGAACACUCCCACUAAAUCAUUCUAAGCAACUCUUUAAGCUCCAUCAACAAUAUAGAAAUUAACUACCACCAAAGUGACAUCUCAACUCACAUUAACAAUAAACUUAAAGAAGCCGACACUAAACUCGUCACAAUUCUAUGAAUACUCGGCUAUUUAGGUAUAAAAAGGCAACGGACGUCGAUAAACACGCUAAAAUUGCAGCUACCGAUCCAAAUAUACCUUUGCUUAGACUUAUACCAUUCAACGACAUAAUAACAUUUAUAAAAAAUAAUAUAAUUAAAAAAUGGCACAAGGUAUGAAUCAACGAAACUCGAAGCUAAACCCAAUUAAGAAAAUUAUAUUCAAAUUUUAAUAUCAAAAUAAAGAUACUGUAAAUAAUGUAACAUUGUAACUAAUUGCCUUUACUGUCAAAAAUGUAUGAUCAAUAAAAAAUAAUAACUUUAUGAUUUUGA
This is a long non-coding RNA of Daktulosphaira vitifoliae (grape phylloxera), 508 nucleotides long. RefSeq lists it as uncharacterized. The transcript is spliced from 2 exons. NCBI's taxonomy places the organism in Eukaryota, Metazoa, Arthropoda, Insecta, Hemiptera, Phylloxeridae. The record is from RefSeq and is a predicted model, not a curated record.